UCCGGCCGCCCGCGGAGGCGGCGGUGGGAAGCCGGGGCGGGGCCCGUCCCCGCCGCUCUACCCCGCCGAGGGGGCUGCGCCUAUCGGGGCUUCCAAGCCCCACCCUGCACUUCAGCUAAUUCUGCCCUUUGGGAAAACACUGAUAUGAAGCACACUUCCUUCAGAAAUGAAGUUGGAUCUGUAACCUUUGACACAACCACCAGAGGAAGGUCCUGCAACCACACACAUCCUGGCAAAAGAGCCCCCAUGCUGCUGAGGAAUGAAUAUUUACAUCAUGGAAAGUUCUCCAGCUUUCCUCAGACUGAAGUCAUGCCAUCAAGUAGAUGGCAGCUGGCAGUAACCCACAUCAGCAAAAAUCAGAAAAGCUGCAGCAGGGAUCACAGAAAAGAGCUUGGAACAGCACAGCACCAGGGCAGAUGGAUCUCAGCUAUUACAGACAAGUUGUAAAAUUGGGCACAUACUUAUGCAGCAGUGCCAACAGCCAGCAUCAAACAUCAGUGAGCAAAGCCAUGGGCUCUCAAGUGCAUGGUCUUGAAGACCAAGUAGGUCUCUGUUUGGCAAGACCAAUGAGACAUUCAUCUCUCCAUUUUCUCCUGGCAUCCAGGACUUUUGGAACAACUGGGAUUUUUUCAGACAGUGCCUGGAAGAGAAAAUUUAACUUAACUAAAUUUCAUAAUCUGAGUGAAAAGGUUUCACCAGCAUUUUUUUCCUGCUUUCCUUGUGUCAGACCAAGUCACCAUCCACACAAAUUAUCAUUUAGGCUAUCACAAGAAAUAGGUCACUAAUUCUUUCGAUGAGUGACUGGAAAGAAACCAACCUGUAUGGGAAUAAAAAUGCUCCCACUUGGAUAAGGUUAUCCUAAAUGUGGCAAUAGAGAUGACUACAGAAACAAGAAAGCAUUAGCCUCUUCCCUCAUUUGCUCCACACAGUCACUGUCACUCUUUGAUGACAAUCUUUUCUUAAGUAGAAAGGAGACACCCUGGCCAUUUAUGCUGCUGAAAAUGUGUUCUGAACCAGAUUCUUGUGUGUGGUUCCCCAUAAAUGCAGUGAGGGAUAUCAUGUUUAUAAAAAUAUUUUGUCUUAAGAAUACCAGUUAUUAUAAAAAUGACAAGGGAAUACAGGGAAAAAAGCAUUUCUGAGUGCACAAAGUUGUCUUAGAAGUGACAAGGAAAAAAAAGUUGUUUUGAGAGUGGAGAAAAGAUGACCUUGUGGUCUCUUUUUGAGAAAGAGACCACAAGGUCAUCUUUGCCAAAACAGGACCUGAGGUCUUAGGCUUAAAAGUGUUGAGAAACUGGGUAAAACAUGGACCCACUACCAAUGACUGGCAAGCUGCAGUCACUCCAGAAAAAAAUCAGAGGGAGGGACAGAGGAGUAAGGUAAAAAAUGCUUAAUGAUUUACUCUAACAGAGGAUCUCUGCAAGCUUAUCUUUGGCACUGAAGACUGAAGAUAAUAAAGACACAGAAGCAGGUGUUGAAGUGGAAUCCAGCCUUCUAUAAAGAAAGCCAAACUGUUUCAUACCAUUUAAAAGCUUCUGAUUAUGAAUUAUGCCAAAAUUAUUAUUGAUUGUAAUUAUAAGCAGUCUAUGUUAUUUAAGCAUAAAAUAAUGUCUUUCCUCAAAAUGCAUUAACAUAAAUAGGAAUACAAAAUGUUAUCUUCCAGACAGGCUGCCUCCAUAUUUGGAAUUAAUCUCUGACAGCUGAUCAGAAAUUAUUCAACCCCUACACAUAUUCUUAGUGAAUCAUUUAAAAAGGCACCUUUUGAAAAGGCAGAGUUAGGAAAUGACAAUACUUCAGCUGAUUCCUGUGGUCAUUCAAAAUGACUAUGUAGUGACUAUAAACAAACUGUGGGCUUAGAAAUGUUACUACAUAAACUAGAUCCCAAUCCAGAACAGCACUUAAACACAUUUUAUCUUUAAACAUGCAAGUAACCUUACCAGACUGCUCACAUAUGCUCAAAUACAUGUUCUGUUAAACAUGUAUUUGCACACAUGACAAACUGGAACUCUGGUUUGUAAAGUAUAAAAAGAACACCUAGAAGAAAAAAAGCUACAGGUUCAUGCAGAAAGAUGGAGCAGGAGGAAGACACAGGAUGAAUAUUCAUGUAGGUAAGGAGGCUGAGAAUAACAUAAUAAGAGGAGGGAAGUGGUAGGAAAUAGCAUGGAGGAUUAAAUGCCAAUAACCCACAGCUGUUAGCAGCUGACUCCUCUGUCUGGUAUUAAUGCUACUAGUAAUAAUGUGACUGCUAGUUCCCUUUCCCAGGAUGUAUUGUCCAAGUGCUUUCAAAAGGAACUCACAUGCAUGCUGUACUGAUCUCUUCCCUUAAAGUACACAUUUACACAAUAAAUACAAACUACAGAUACCUCCAGCAGUAAACUGAAAUAGCACAAAUGUUGAAAUAAAAACUAAGGUUCUUUGUUCUGCA
Molecule: long non-coding RNA, 2422 nt
Organism: Serinus canaria (Common canary)
Lineage: Eukaryota; Metazoa; Chordata; Aves; Passeriformes; Fringillidae
Exons: 5
Source: RefSeq, a predicted model, not a curated record